GCCCCCAAGUUCAAUACACCUCUUUCAACUGGUUCUUCUUCAUUUCCUGCAACCUCUCUUCCUUGUAUGGGUCAUUUUCCUUUUUGAAAACUCAAUCAGGCAGAAAUUCACCACAAACGUAAGCUUAAACUUUGUUUCAAUUGUGAUAAAAAAUAUCACAAGGGUCAUCGUUUCUCUUCUCCUUCACAACUUUUUCUCCUUAUCUCUGAGGAUGAUCCACGAGAAAAAUCCCCACCUCCAUCUCCAUUGCCUACACCAGAUAGCAAUAUGUCUUUCCCGCCAACUGAAUCCUCCCUCCUUACUAUCAGCUAUCAAGCUUUGUCUGGUAGAACUUUCACCAUCAUAUCUCUUUGAUUCACAUGUCAGGUAAAAGGCCAAGUGUCUAAAGUUCUUAUUGAUGAUGGGGGCACUCAUAAUUUUAUCACUUCUUGUGUUGCAAAAUCUCUUCAACUACCCAUUGAAUUUUCUGUCAAAUUCUCUAUUUUAGUGGGUAAUGGUCAUAAUCUUUUAUGUUUGGGUGUCGUCCAUGAUCUUUCCAUCACUGUAAAAGGCCACACUUUCUACAAAGAAUUCCUUGUCAUUGAUUUACAUGGCUCUGACUUGGUUUUAGGGGUGGUAUGGUUGGCGACUUUGGAUCCAAUCAUGACAGAUUAUGCCCAAUAUCUCUUUCAAUUUAAUUUCCAAGGUAAAUGUGUCUCAUGGUCUGGAGAUCCUCCUCCCAAACUGCAAUAAGUCCAACCUUCUGCGUUACGUCGUUGUAACCAAACAAAUUCCAUUUCUUGUUUGCUUUAUUUAAAGCUUUUGUCUCCAAUGAUAGCCCUAGAAUUGCACCACUCACCUGCUCUUACCUAGAUGCUCGACUCGUAUCUGGAUGUGUUUGUGUCUCCAAUAGCUCUACCACCUUCAUGUCCUCAAGAUCACCGCAUUUUGCUAAUUCCUCGCUCUUCCCCCGUGAAUGUCCACCCAUAUCACUAUCCUUAUUUUUAGAAGGGUGAGAUUGAAUGAUUGGUCUCUGGUAUGCUCAAAUCUAGUGUCAUUCAACUUAGCUUCAGCCCUCAUUCAUUCCCUAUUUUGCUGGUGCAUGAGAAAUAUGACACUUGACGCUUUUGUGUCGACUACCGGGCAUUAAAUCCUAUCACAAUUAAGGAUUGAUUUCCCAUCCCCACAGUGGAGGAACUAUUUGAUGAACUUUAUGGUGCUUUUUUCUUUUCUAAACUUGAUUUGUUGGUUGGGUACCAUCAAAUUUGAGUAAUCCCUGAUGUCAUUGAGAAGAUGACAUUUCACACCCAUGAUGGCCACUUUGAGUUUGUUGAAAUGCCAUUUGGGCUGUCUAACGCCUCAUCUAUAUUUCAAGCCACCAUGAAUGCUAUAUUCAAGCCUUUCCUUUGCCAGUUUGUCCUCGUCCUCGUCUUCUUCGAUGUCAUACUCAUAUAUAGUAUGACUUGGUAGGAUCAUAUCCUUUAUCAGUUUACAGGUUAAUCCUAAAAAUAUUUGUGCUGUUGAAUCAUGGCCCUGCCCAAUAUCGCUUAAAGAGGUUCGUGGGUUUUUGGGCUUAACGUGGUAUUAGCACCGAUUUAUCAAAGGGUAUGCCCAACUAGCUUCACCAUUAACUGACCUUUUGAAAAAGUACUCCUUUGUAUGGUCAGAUGCUUCUUCUAUUGCAUUUAUCAUUCUAAAGCAGGCUUUGAGUUCUAUUCCCGUACUCGCUUUGCCAAAUUUUGCUAAAAUGUUUUCUGUGGAGACGGAUGCUUCUGGCAUUGGUAUUGGUACUGUUUUAUAUCAAGAAGGACACCCCAUCACAUUCUUCAGCCAAAAUAUAUCUGCAUGAAUGCAGGCAGUCUCUACUUAUACAAGAGAUAUAUUUGCUAUUACACAGGCUGUUCAAAAGUGGAGACAAUAUUUGUUGGGUAAAAAAUUCCUCAUUAUUACAGAUCAACAACCACUAAAAUCCCUCACUAAUCAGGUUAUUCAGGUACCUGAGUAGCAAUGUUGGCUCAACAAGUUGAUUGGUUUUGAUUUUGAGAUCUUAUAUCAUCCUGGCAAGCUGAACUCUACUGCUGAUGUGUUAUCUUGAGUUCCCACUAUGCUUGAUUUAACUCUGGCAGUCACUGGGAUAGACUUGAUCUACAAAUUGCGACAAAUUAACAGAACAUAUACAAAUUUACUUGACCUUCAACAAUCGUUGUCUACUGACCCUGCCUCAUUACCCCACUUGUCGUUUCAAGAUAGUCUUAUGCUCAUUCAAAACCGAUUGGUCAUUCCCCUCGAUACUGAAAUCAAGAAGAUACUCUUGGAGGAAUUUCAUUCUUCAAAAAUUGAUGGAUAUGCAGCUGAUACUUUUUCUAGGUGGUUUCAUCUUCUUCCGUGGAAGGAGUUUUGCUAUAACAUCUCUUACCAACACAACUUUCCUUUUGAGGUGGUGUAUGGUCGUCCUCCCCUGGUAAUUGCUUGAUAUAUUUUGGAUGGCAACACUCCACCAGCUGUGGCUAAUUUACUUAGGCAACACGAUGAUACUUUGGCACUGGUGAAGUCUAAUUUGCAAUUUGAUCAGGCUUGAAUGAAAAGAUACGCUGACAAAGGUUGCAAGGAUGUGGCGUUUAAGGUUGGCGAUUGGGUCUUUGUUCGUUUGCGUCUCUACAGACAACUUUCUCUCUGCUCCAAUGUCAUACCAAACUCAGUCGGUGAUUCUUUGGGCUAUUUUGGGUGCUUCAAUAAGUUGGUGAGGUUGCUUAAAGGUUGGAACUCCCACCUUCAUCGAAAAUUCACCCUGUAUUUCAUGUCUCCAAUCUUCGCAGAUGUUUGGGUACUCCAGACCAACAAGUCACUCCUAUUGAUCUCCUUGAUCAUUAUUUUUCACUCAUGCUCUUCUCGAAUCAAUUAUAGACAGCCGCACCAUUACUAGAGGCGCAUAUCAGGUGUUGUAAUUUUUUAUCAAGUGCAGGGGUUACCCGAGGAUUCUCACUCUCUCCGUCAAAGUAUUCCUGACUUGAAGCUUUAGGACAAGGUUCGUCUUCCUGAAGGUGAUAAUGUAACAAAUAUGCAAGACCACGGGGUAACACUACGCCACAACAAUUGGGACAAACAACCCCCUAAAUACUUGGACCAAUAUGUGGUCCCAAAUGCCAAGCAAGGGCUAGCUGUGCCGGUACCAGUAGCACUAGUAGCACGAGGCAGUGCUGCCAGGAGCUCUGCAACAUAACUUAUUUAUAUAAUCAAAAGGGAUGCUACCAAAGAGGAUCAUGGAUGAAGUUUUUUUUUUAAUUUCUUAUCUUUGUAAUAGUCUAGAAUCUCCCUUCAUUCUGUUUUUUUUCCUUCUUAGCUUAUCUACAACUUUCAGUAAUUGUACGUUAUUCUCUAUAUUUCAAUACAAGUUAGUUUUAUUCCA
Long non-coding RNA from Capsicum annuum, 3385 nucleotides. RefSeq lists it as uncharacterized. The record is from RefSeq and is a predicted model, not a curated record. The transcript has 2 exons. NCBI's taxonomy places the organism in Eukaryota, Viridiplantae, Streptophyta, Magnoliopsida, Solanales, Solanaceae.